RNAcentral lists this long non-coding RNA (1164 nucleotides) under Nothobranchius furzeri (turquoise killifish). RNAcentral's name for it is "lncRNA (ENSNFUG00015016569.1)". The record is from RNAcentral. Lineage: Eukaryota; Metazoa; Chordata; Actinopteri; Cyprinodontiformes; Nothobranchiidae.
GCGAUUGAGGUCGCUCUCCAGCAGGCUCCUCUGCUGUCCGGCGUGCUCGAACUCGGCCUUCAGGCGGACACAUUCUUGCUCAGCAAACAGUUUUUGUUGAGCGAUCUGCUCGGCGAGCUGCCUCUGCUUCUCCAGCUCCUUCUCCGCGUUCUCUUUCUGCUUCAGGGCAGCGUCCUCCGCUUUAGCCCUCCUCUUGGCGUCUCGCUCUGCUUCCACCUUCUGGCGCUCGGCUUCGUCCUGGGCCUGACUCUUCCUCUGGGCCUCCUCCUCAGCCUGCAGCCUCAGACGGAGAGCUUCGUUGGCUUUCUGCCUCCACGUCUCCAGCUCCUGCUCUGCCUGCUGCCUGGCUCUGUCGGCUUCUUCUUGUUUCUUCCUGAGACUUUGGGCCUCCUCCUGCAGCUGGAGGACUGUCCCCUGCUCCUUCCUGAGGGACUUCUCCAGCUCUGUGGCCUUCUGGGUGAACGAGGCGGUGCUGGUUUGCAGCUGGGUGGAGGCAGACUGCUGAACGAUCUCCUCCACCUUCUGAACCUGCCUCAGCUUUUCCUCCUCCGCCUGCUUCAUGCGCCGCUCCGCCUCCUCAGCUUGCAGCUUGAACUUCUGCAGCUCUUCCAGGGACUUCUUUUUGCUCUUGACAGCCUCCUUCUCAGCUUCAGAUUUGCGUUUCAGCUCGUCUUCAGCGUUUUUCUUUUUCUGCGUCUCGUCGGCCACCUGCCUGCGGAGCCGCUCGGCCUCGUCCUGAGCCUCCUUCCUGAGCUUCUCGGCCUCGGCAGCCUUGUCUCUGAGCUGCUGGAGCUCUGUCUCGGCCGUGGCUUUCUGCUUCAUCGUGGUCUCCAACUGGAUUCGGAUUAUGCGGAUCUCCUCCUCGAUCCUGGUGCGGCUGAGCAGCGCCUCCUCCAGCUGCUGGUUCUUGGACUUGACUUCCUGCUCCGACAGGCUCCUCAGCUGCUGCAGCUCCUGCUGGAUGUUCUGCUUCUGCUUCUCGGCGUCUGCCGCCACGCCCUGCCUCUUGUUGGCGUCAUCCUUCAUCUUCAGCUUCAGCUCCUGUGCCUCCUGCUCGGCCUUGGCCACGGCCUGAGCCUGGGAUUCAGCCAGCUGCUUCUGCUUCUCCAGCUCAGCCUGGAUCUCAGACAGCUUCUUCUUCUCCUCCUCCUUCAGCGUCUCUGA